GAUGAACGCUGGCGGCGUGCUUAACACAUGCAAGUCGAGCGAAGCACUUUUAAGGAAGUUUUCGGAUGGAAUUAAAAGUGACUGAGCGGCGGACGGGUGAGUAACGCGUGGGUAACCUGCCUCAUACAGGGGGAUAACAGUUGGAAACGACUGCUAAUACCGCAUAAGCGCACGGUGUCACAUGACACGGUGUGAAAAACUCCGGUGGUAUGAGAUGGACCCGCGUCUGAUUAGGUAGUUGGUGAGGUAACGGCCCACCAAGCCGACGAUCAGUAGCCGACCUGAGAGGGUGACCGGCCACAUUGGGACUGAGACACGGACCAAACUCAUACGGGAGGCAGCAGUGGGGAAUAUUGGACAAUGGGGGAAACCCUGAUCCAGCGACGCCGCGUGAGUGAAGAAGUAUUUCGGUAUGUAAAGCUCUAUCAGCAGGGAAGAAAAUGACGGUACCUGACUAAGAAGCCCCGGCUAACUACGUGCCAGCAGCCGCAGUAA
RNAcentral lists this ribosomal RNA (495 nucleotides) under uncultured bacterium. RNAcentral describes it as "partial 16S ribosomal RNA". It matches the Rfam family "Bacterial small subunit ribosomal RNA", at positions 28 to 523 of the family's 1533-position model. The record is from RNAcentral.